RNAcentral lists this long non-coding RNA (381 nucleotides) under Rattus norvegicus (Norway rat). RNAcentral's name for it is "long non-coding RNA NONRATT009899". The record is from RNAcentral. Lineage: Eukaryota; Metazoa; Chordata; Mammalia; Rodentia; Muridae.
GGGAACGCGACGGCAAGGGUGGCAGUGGCAGCGUUCGUGUGCUCGGGUCUGAAUCACUGAGGGAGGAGGCGGUGGAGGAAGAGGUGGCAGCGGUGGCGGUGGUCGUAGCGGUGGCGGAGGAGGCGGGUACGAAUCAGCUGCGGGCAGAGACAUGGCCAACAUCGCGGUGCAGCGAAUCAAGCGGGAGUUCAAGGAGGUGCUGAAGAGCGAGGAGGUCCGGUUUAUCACUAAAAUAUGGCACCCUAAUAUUAGUUCCGUCACAGGGGCUAUUUGUUUGGAUAUCCUGAAAGAUCAAUGGGCAGCAGCAAUGACUCUGCGCACAGUAUUAUUGUCAUUGCAAGCACUGCUGGCCGCUGCAGAACCAGAUGACCCCCAAGAUGC